RNAcentral lists this ribosomal RNA (1125 nucleotides) under Triticum aestivum (bread wheat). RNAcentral describes it as "partial small subunit ribosomal RNA". Lineage: Eukaryota; Viridiplantae; Streptophyta; Magnoliopsida; Poales; Poaceae. The record is from RNAcentral.
AUGCAUGGACGUGCAUGGAUGCCUUCCACGGAUGAGUGGAAGGGGUCAAUCGAACUGGACGAGGGAGCUGUACACAGUGUCGGGCUGCCAGUCGGCCGGGAUGACCUGCCCGGCGACGAGCGACCUGCCGGACUCGUUGGUGACCCGCAGCGAAAAGGGCCCCUGCAGCGGGCGGUGCGUGUCCAACCGCCAGAUGGAGCCCCACGACUCCCUCAUCGGCGUCCAGACCCCAGUCGGCUCACCAUUGUCCGGCCGCGACUCCAUGAGGUCCACCUGCGCCACGUCGCCGUCGCCGUUCUCGUACUCCACCAGGAUCGCCAGGUAGUUCGGGUUCGACCCCUGCUCCACGUGGAACGUCACCGACAGCCCCGGGUACUGGCACGGCACCCUCUUGAACUGCAUGUCGAUGAUGCCGGCGUGGCGGAGCUCGUCGUUUCGGCCGUCCUUGGCCAUGGCGCCGAAGGCGGUGCCGCUGAGGUCGAAGUGGUAGCGGGCCACCGGGUAGUAGUUCAUGUCGGUGAUGAUCACCGUCUCAGGGACGCCGGAGCACGCUGCGUGAGCCACGCACCUUAUCUGCACGCAACGCAACGCAACAAUCCAAGAUCCAUCAGCCUGGAAAAACAAACGAAACGACAAGCACUCUACCGUCACUGUCAAGUAACUGCAAUGUCGGCCACAGCAGCUGACCUGGUAGCACGAGCCGCAUCCCUUGCCGUCCUUGAAGAGCGGCUCGUUGCCGCACGACGUCAUGGCGUUGAACGGCGGCAGGUUCACGUUCUUGAACCCGCACGCGCCACCAUUGUCGUCAGGCCCGGCGCCUCCGGGAGCGCCGUACCAGGUGGCCCUGGCGUCGAGCCAGCCGCCGCCGUCGACGUUGGUGCCGGUGCCGGUGCCGGGGCUGGGGGUGGGGGUAGCGGGGGCGGGUGUAGGCGUGGGGGAGUGUCCAGGGCAGAAUAUGGCAGGCAGAAACCAAAAGCAGCCGCAGCAGCCAUCGGCGGCGAGGAGGCAGAAGAGGGCGACCGCAACGGCGUAGGCGGAGGCCGCUGCCAUCGCCCGCUUUCGCUGGUUACUCGUUGCCGUACUCUGAUCAAAUCAAGAGGAGGAAAAGGACGAAGGAAUGAAUGA